Molecule: long non-coding RNA, 1064 nt
Organism: Varroa destructor (honeybee mite)
Lineage: Eukaryota; Metazoa; Arthropoda; Arachnida; Mesostigmata; Varroidae
Source: RefSeq, a predicted model, not a curated record
CGUUGUUGAGGCACAGCGCGACAUGGAACCAAUGAUGCAAGCAGGCUAGCUAGCUAGGCAGACAAGCAGAUGUCCGAAAAGCCGCCGUUCAGAGCUUUGCUGUUACAGCUAAUAAUGCUGCUGCUGUUUACUCCGGCCAAACGUGACCGUCAACGGACUCGGACGGUCGUAACGGAUGGAAGUCUCCAUAAUAUGAAGAUGUCGAUUAAUGGAGAAAAGUUCUUGUGUGAUAGCUCCCGGCCAAGGAGAACGUAGACAUACGAAAAUGUUUUGAACUUCCUCCACUACAGAGAUUCGUCAAAAUUGGUCGAGAAGUUAAGAAAAAAAGAAACUAUCAUCUGCAUUUUCGUCUACCUUAUGCUUUCAAGUAGUGCAACGUCUGGAAAUCAUCGUCUGCAAACGAGCUGAGAAGAUGAUACGGAUUUUACUGAAAGAACAACUUUUCAUUUCGCAGUCCUGUAACACUAUGCAUUCUAUAGACACUUCGAAUAAUUUUGGCUUUAAUGCUACUCGUAUUGGCAGAAAACCAAAUUUUAUAGAGAGUGCUAACGUCAACUUGGUUUUUCUUUCGAGUCGUCUCUAUUUGCUUUGUGAUAAAGGUCAGUCGGAUUCAAACAAUAGAACUUCAUGAUUCUGGUAACAUACAGAAAAUCCUGAUAAUUUAAAUUAGAGAAAACACAAUCUCGAUGAGAUUGAUUUAGCACAGUUAUUACAACGUUUCUAGUAUUGGUAGAGUAAGUAGAACGGUUUUAUCUUAAUAUUUUCGUCUUCUACUCGAAAUGAAACAGUUGGAUCAAUAAUAGUUUAGAGGCCGACAAACGACAAACAAGAUAAUUUAAUCUCAGUUUUAUUGCUUUUACUUUUUCUGAUUACAAAUAGUAGUUUAGAACUAGAAUAAUAACUUCUAGUAGCAACGCCAUCGCCGUGCUAGAAGAAUGAUCUGUCGCUUUCGGCGCCACCGAUAAACAGGCCUCUGGCAGGUGUCACUAUUUCAGGCCAUUCGUGAAACUCGUCAACAUGUACGACAUCGUAUAAUCAUAACAGUUGUUGAUAUCCACGCAUGA